Molecule: ribosomal RNA, 183 nt
Filed under: Roseburia intestinalis
Lineage: Bacteria; Bacillati; Bacillota; Clostridia; Lachnospirales; Lachnospiraceae
Description: partial 23S ribosomal RNA
Rfam family: Bacterial large subunit ribosomal RNA
Source: RNAcentral
AGGUCAAGCAAGAAAGAGCGCAGGGUGGAUGCCUUGGCACUAAGAGCCGAAGAAAGACGUGAUAAGCUGCGAAAAGCUGCGGGGAGGAGCAAAUAUCCAUUGAGCCGCAGAUAUCUGAAUGGGGAAACCCGGCUGGACGAACUCCAGUCAUCCAUACGCCAAUCCAUAACGUAUGGAAGGGAA